This is a long non-coding RNA of Nicotiana tabacum (common tobacco), 444 nucleotides long. RefSeq lists it as uncharacterized. NCBI's taxonomy places the organism in Eukaryota, Viridiplantae, Streptophyta, Magnoliopsida, Solanales, Solanaceae. The record is from RefSeq and is a predicted model, not a curated record.
AAAUAAAAAAAAAUCGUAAAAAUAUUUCGACUUAAAAUCCACUCAUCCUCUGAAAUCCCUAUCCAAAGGGCCUAAACCCUCUCAAAUUCAUCCCCAAAAGAAUGACUCCCCGCCCUCUGAAGUUUUCUCUCAACCUUAAAUCUCUUUAUUCAAGCUGCAAUUUCUCAGCUUUUGAAGACUCACAAACAACUUUUGAAGACUUCAUACAAGUUAACAAGUUGAUUAUCAUAUUGGCAGGACGGUUAGACAAAAGGUUCCCUUAUUUUAGAAGGAUUUAGUUUUUGUUGAGGCAAAGUUUUAUAUUUUUUUUUACAUUUGGAUGUUAGUUUUUCUUUUUUCCCCUAAGGGGUUGUGUAAGAAAUAUUGUGACUUAUACCAUGAUCGUACAAUGAUACUAAUGAGACUCUUUAAGGGGUUGUAUAACCAAUAUAGUGACUUAUACUA